AAUGAACGCUGGCGGCAUGCCUAACACAUGCAAGUCGAGCGGACGAAGGGAGCUUGUUCCUGGCUUCAGCGGCGGACGGGCGAGUAAUUCAUAGGAAUCUGCCUGGUAGUGGGGGAUAACGUCCGGAAACGGGCGCUAAUACCGCACACGUUCUGAUGUUGAAAGUGGGGGUUCUUUGGACCUCACGCUUUCUGAUGAGCCUAGGUCGGAUUAGCUAGCUGGUUGGGUAAAGGCCUACCAAGGCGACGAUCCGUAACUGGGCUGAGAGGGUGAUCAGUCACAAUGGAAAUUGGAAACGGUCCAGACUCCCAAGGGGAGGAGCAGGAGGGAAUCUUCGGACAUGGGGGAAAGGCUUAAGCAACCAAGGCGGGGGAGGUAAAGAGGGCCUUCGGAUUGUAAAGCACGUUAUGUUGGAAGAAAAGGCGGUUAGUUAACACCGUGCUGUUUUGCCGUAACCAACAAAAUAGCACCGGCUAACUUCGUG
RNAcentral lists this ribosomal RNA (484 nucleotides) under uncultured bacterium. RNAcentral describes it as "partial 16S ribosomal RNA". It matches the Rfam family "Bacterial small subunit ribosomal RNA", at positions 29 to 507 of the family's 1533-position model. The record is from RNAcentral.